CUCAUACAAAACCAAAUUAGACUAAACGUUACAGUACCAUGGUCUCUCUGAUAAUACUUAGUAAUGGUAAAACUUCAAUUAUUCCCUAAUUCAACGUUUACCUUUCCAGUGGACCCGGGAUUAGCCCGGAAUUCUUUGGGUUUGAGUUUCUCAAUCUAUAGUUUUUAAUCAUUUGUGUUUUGUGACUGAGUUGUUUGUAUUUUACUCAGUUUUCUUUUCCGUCAUGGUGCUGAUACCCCUUAGUUAUCUUCCCACCUUUCUAAAACAUCAAUACAAGCAUAUGAAUACAUUUUCCUUUUAUUGCACCUCCAUGCAAAAAUUAUAAAUAUUCAACAAACUAAAUGUUCACUCAGCGAAAAACUUGUCGAUUACGAAAAGUCUGUGUUUCCGCUUGGUGUAAUCGUUCAUAAACCAUGUUCAAUUCCGAUUCCGAAUAAGUCAAUUUGUUGCUAGAUCGACUUUGUUUACUGUCACAACUUUUGGCAGACUUUCUUGGUCGUCUCUCUUGUGUUUUAUAUAACCUCCCCACAAUCUCGUCUACUUGUGUGUUAUCUGCCUCCCUGAAAGCUGGAGCUUUUGGUAAAUAGGUUUUAAAUUCCGGUA
This 603-nucleotide long non-coding RNA is filed under the name Mytilus galloprovincialis (Mediterranean mussel). The record is from RNAcentral. Lineage: Eukaryota; Metazoa; Mollusca; Bivalvia; Mytilida; Mytilidae.